UACAGAGGGUGCGAGCGUUAAUCGGAAUUACUGGGCGUAAAGCGCGCGUAGGCGGCUUUUCAAGUCGAUUGUGAAAUCCCCGGGCUUAACCUGGGAACUGCAGUCGAGACUGUCUAGCUAGAGUAUGGGAGAGGGAAGUGGAAUUUCAGGUGUAGCGGUGAAAUGCGUAGAUAUGUGGAGGAACACCGAUGGCGAAGGCAGCCCCCUGGGAUAAGACUGACGCUCAUGUACGAAAGCGUGGGGAGCAAACAGG
This 253-nucleotide ribosomal RNA is filed under the name uncultured bacterium. RNAcentral describes it as "partial 16S ribosomal RNA". It matches the Rfam family "Bacterial small subunit ribosomal RNA", at positions 524 to 776 of the family's 1533-position model. The record is from RNAcentral.